GCGAUCACUAACGUCGGGACUCGAAAAUACGUAAUUUGAAAAAUAUUUAAUACAACUGCGGCGGUCAUAUGUCCGGGUGGUCGUAAGUCGAGUAGGUCAUAAGUCGAGGAGUACCUGUUUACAGUACUAAUUAACUUGGAGCUGAAGUGUUGAAAAUUGAAGUGGGGGAUUGAGUUACCUGGCAAGCAUAUGCAGCCACCAGCAUCUCAAGAGGAAAAAUGAUCUUUGAUAACAAGCACUUUGUUUUCAUUUUGCUCUAUUGUACUGUGACAAUAACUACUGUGUUUGUUUUUAGACAUAUUAAGGACUGUAAACCUGGUUAGAAUCUACAAUGCUUUCUGAAUGACCAAAGAGUGAUAUGGACAGCACAAGUACAUAGGUGAUACUGGCCUGUGCUGUGCCCUGAAAACAAAUGCCACCCUGUUCUCUAGGCUCACUGUCUAACAAGGCUGGGCUCAUUAAACAAAAUUCUUGAUCAUUGGCUACUCGUUCAGUGGGACUUUACUGUACUUUGGGCAAUUUAAUUUUGUUAUGUUCAUUCAAAUGUUGACAAUGCUUCCUAGUACAGGGUCUACUGUAGGCAUCAGUUCUUGUUAUAGAUGGAGGGACAGACACAUAACCCACUCAAGCAUAUGUAACCUAGAAUGAUUGUUGAACAGUCCAUCAGUAUUAUGGUAUGUUUUGAUGAAUGUACUGCAUAGUAUUUCAGAUUUUCCAGAAACACAACUUAAGAUGUGUGUAAAUAGGUAUAUGAUGGUGCAGUAAUCGUUUCUUUGAUGUUGGAAAACACUUGCUGUGUAUUACCAGGUAAGUAUAUUCAACUUGCUGCUGUAGUGGCUACCUCACAUAUAUGCAAAAAUGAUAGACCUCGGGUAUCUGGCAACAAAUGCUGGUUGCUCCUAAAGAUCUUUGUGGAACUUAUGUUGGAGAAUAAAUUGUGUUGGGUAUAUGUUGGGCAUGUAAUGAGUAGGUGAGUUGUAGUGAUAUCCUGUACCCUCUCUAUUAUAAGUUGAGGUGGAUGCUACAUAUAACAUCUCUCAUCUAAUACAAAAGGAACAAUUACGAGCACCACACAUGUAUCUCUUCUGUCCCCCAUCAGCUGUUGCCUGUGGUGUAUCUUUCUCAGAGUUCAAGGUUGUUUACGCACACAUUCAGUCAACUUGACAGUAAGCUCUCAGAUAGAUAAUAUUAAUAGUUUUAUGUAAAUUUGUACAAUUGGAAGGAGUAUAUUGAAACACGUGAAAAGAGUUAUAAUUAAUUUUGGUAAGUGUAAGGUGUAAUGUAUGAAAGGAAGUUGUGAUUGUCUUCUUGCAUAUCUGAAGUGAGUUGUAAAAGAUUGUUUUAAAAUGAAAAGAUAAUAAAGAACCUUAAACAAUACAUGUGAUGCAGGCUGUGUAUGAGACACAUGUAGAUGGGGGUGGCAAAUAUUUCAUUGAUACAUUCCUCCAGCAUUGCUUCUGUUAGUGUUGGCUGCAGUGUUGUGUUUUUAAGUUAAGAUACAGAAGUUGUAUACUUUCUCUACAUAGAUCAGAAUUGAAAGUAGUAUAGUCGCUAGGCAUUUCAUUACUUGACCGUAGAAAAUUUAUGUAUCCUUUCAUGUUGUUACAAUAAAUAUUUGUUCUUCUUA
Molecule: long non-coding RNA, 1627 nt
Filed under: Homarus americanus (American lobster)
Lineage: Eukaryota; Metazoa; Arthropoda; Malacostraca; Decapoda; Nephropidae
Description: uncharacterized LOC121872063
Source: RNAcentral